Molecule: unclassified non-coding RNA, 282 nt
Filed under: Hevea brasiliensis (rubber tree)
Lineage: Eukaryota; Viridiplantae; Streptophyta; Magnoliopsida; Malpighiales; Euphorbiaceae
Source: RNAcentral
UCUUUGUUGGAGGUAAUUUGGUGUAUUUGAGGAGUAAGAAGCAUAGUCUAGUAUCUUAGUCUAGCGCUGAAUUAGAAUACAGAGCUAUGGCAUAAUUAAUAUGUGAAAUAAUGUGGAUGCUUUAAUUAUUAGAUGAGGUUGGCCAUAAGAUCUCUCUGCCUGUGAAAUUAUGGUGUGAUUUUUAAGUUGCUUUUCAUAUUGUUUCUAAUAUUCUAUUUCAUGAGCAUACAAAACAUAUCGAGAUUGUCACUUUGUUCUUGAAAAGCUUCAACAAGGGAUCAU